Molecule: ribosomal RNA, 439 nt
Filed under: uncultured bacterium
Lineage: Bacteria
Description: partial 16S ribosomal RNA
Rfam family: Bacterial small subunit ribosomal RNA
Source: RNAcentral
CUACGGGAUGCUCCAGUGAGGAAUAUUGCACAAUGGGGGGAACCCUGAUGCAGCAACGCCGCGUGGAGGAUGACGCAUUUCGGUGUGUAAACUCCUUUUAUAUGUCAAGAAAAUGACGGUAGCAUAUGAAUAAGCACCGGCUAACUCCGUGCCAGCAGCCGCGGUAAUACGGAGGGUGCAAGCGUUACUCGGAAUCACUGGGCGUAAAGGACGCGUAGGCGGGUUGGAAAGUCAGGUGUGAAAUCCCACAGCUUAACUGUAGAACUGCACUUGAAACUUCUAAUCUAGAGUAUGGGAGGGGGAGAUGGAAUUAGUGGUGUAGGGGUAAAAUCCAUAGAUAUCACUAGGAAUACCUAAAGCGAAGGCGAUCUCCUGGAACAUUACUGACGCUAAGGCGUGAAAGCGUGGGGAGCAAACAGGAUUAGAUACCCCAGUAGUC